GAGUUUGAUCCUGGCUCAGAUUGAACGCUGGCGGCAGGCCUAACACAUGCAAGUCGAGCGGUAGAGAGAAGCUUGCUUCUCUUGAGAGCGGCGGACGGGUGAGUAAUGCCUAGGAAUCUGCCUGGUAGUGGGGGAUAACGCUCGGAAACGGACGCUAAUACCGCAUACGUCCUACGGGAGAAAGCAGGGGACCUUCGGGCCUUGCGCUAUCAGAUGAGCCUAGGUCGGAUUAGCUAGUUGGUGAGGUAAUGGCUCACCAAGGCGACGAUCCGUAACUGGUCUGAGAGGAUGAUCAGUCACACUGGAACUGAGACACGGUCCAGACUCCUACGGGAGGCAGCAGUGGGGAAUAUUGGACAAUGGGCGAAAGCCUGAUCCAGCCAUGCCGCGUGUGUGAAGAAGGUCUUCGGAUUGUAAAGCACUUUAAGUUGGGAGGAAGGGCAGUAAAUUAAUAACUUUGCUGUUUUGACGUUACCGACAGAAUAAGCACCGGCUAACUCUGU
Molecule: ribosomal RNA, 503 nt
Filed under: uncultured bacterium
Lineage: Bacteria
Description: bacterial SSU rRNA
Rfam family: Bacterial small subunit ribosomal RNA
Source: RNAcentral